UGUACUUGUGUGUGUUUCUGUCUUCACUUGUGGACCGAGGCUUAAUGAACAGGUGCAAAAAAUAAACCCUCUUCUGCAACCCAGAGCUCAUUGUUCGGUAUGAGUUUUGAUACACAGAAGAAGGAAUAUU
Molecule: small nucleolar RNA, 130 nt
Filed under: Chinchilla lanigera (long-tailed chinchilla)
Lineage: Eukaryota; Metazoa; Chordata; Mammalia; Rodentia; Chinchillidae
Description: Small nucleolar RNA SNORA40 (ENSCLAG00000018662.1)
Rfam family: Small nucleolar RNA SNORA40
About the family: The snoRNA ACA 40 belongs to the H/ACA family of snoRNAs and guides the pseudouridylation of 28S rRNA subunit at position U4565. NB This family has a high threshold value to exclude a large number of closely related sequences that do not appear to have conserved H and ACA boxes, and may be pseudogenes.
Source: Rfam by way of RNAcentral